GAAAUGCGAUAAGUAAUGUGAAUUGCAGAAUUCAGUGAAUCAUCGAAUCUUUGAACGCACCUUGCGCUCCUUGGUAUUCCUUGGAGCAUGCCUGUUUGAGUAUCAUGAAAUCUUCAAAGUAAAUCUUUUGUUAACUCAAUUGGUUUCUACUUUGGUAUUGGAGCUCUUUGCAGCUUCACACCUGCUCCUCUUUGUUCAUUAGCUGGAUCUCAGUGUUAUGCUUGGUUCCACUCGGCGUGAUAAGUUAUCUAUCGCUGAGGACACUGUAAAAGGUGGCCAAGGUAAAUGCAGAUGAACCGCUUCUAAUAGUCCAUUGACUUGGACAAUACUUUUAUGAUCUGAUCUCAAAUCAGGUAGGACUACCCGCUGAACUUAAGC
Molecule: unclassified non-coding RNA, 378 nt
Filed under: plant metagenome
Description: partial contains 5.8S ribosomal RNA, internal transcribed spacer 2, and large subunit ribosomal RNA
Rfam family: 5.8S ribosomal RNA (bases 1-105)
Source: RNAcentral